AACAAACGCUGGCGGCGUGCCUAACACAUGCAAGUCGAACGCGAAAGGGACUUCGGUCCUGAGUAAAGUGGCGCACGGGUGAGUAACGCGUGGGUAAUCUGCCCCUCAGUUGGGAAUAACCCAUCGAAAGGUGGGCUAAUACCGAAUAAUGCUGUAUCGCCUCGGUGAUUCAGCCAAAGACGGCCUCUGCUUGCAAGCUGUCGCUGAGAGAUGAGCCCGCGUACCAUUAGCUUGUUGGUGGGGUAAUGGCCUACCAAGGCGACGAUGGUUAGCUGAUCUGAGAGGAUGAUCAGCCACACUGGAACUGAGACACGGUCCAGACUCCUACGGGAGGCAGCAGUGAGGAAUCUUGCGCAAUGGGGGAAACCCUGACGCAGCAACGCCGCGUGAGUGAGGAAGGCCUUGGUCGUAAAGCUCUGUCGGUGGAAGAAACGCAUGGGUGCUAAUACCAUCUAUGCUUGACGGUACCGCCAAGGAAGCACC
RNAcentral lists this ribosomal RNA (483 nucleotides) under uncultured bacterium. RNAcentral's name for it is "bacterial SSU rRNA". It matches the Rfam family "Bacterial small subunit ribosomal RNA", at positions 29 to 494 of the family's 1533-position model. The record is from RNAcentral.